GCUUACAGCCACACCACCUGAACACGCCCGAUCUCGUCUGAUCUCGGAAGCUAAGCAGGGCGGGCCUGGUUAGUACUUGGAUGGGAGACCGCCUGGGAAUACCAGGUGCUGUAAGUU
RNAcentral lists this ribosomal RNA (117 nucleotides) under Oryzias javanicus (javanese ricefish). Lineage: Eukaryota; Metazoa; Chordata; Actinopteri; Beloniformes; Adrianichthyidae. The record is from RNAcentral.